AUUGACGCUGGCGGCAGGCUUAACACAUGCAAGUCGAGCGGAGACUUCGGUCUUAGCGGCGAACGGGUGAGGAAUGCCUGGGAAUCUGCCUGGUAGUGGGGGAUAACGUUCCGAAAGGAACGCUAAUACCGCAUACGUCCUACGGGAGAAAGCAGGGGACCUUCGGGCCUUGCGCUAUCAGAUGAGCCCAGGUCGGAUUAGCUAGUAGGUGAGGUAAAGGCUCACCUAGGCGACGAUCCGUAGCUGGUCUGAGAGGAUGAUCAGCCACACUGGAACUGAGACACGGUCCAGACUCCACGGGAGGCAGCAGUGGGAAUAUUGGACAAUGGGCGAAAGCCU
Molecule: ribosomal RNA, 339 nt
Filed under: uncultured bacterium
Lineage: Bacteria
Description: bacterial SSU rRNA
Rfam family: Bacterial small subunit ribosomal RNA
Source: RNAcentral